CCUGGGACUUGCGUCCCAGGCUAUCACUUACCGUCACUUCGUGACU
Molecule: small RNA, 46 nt
Filed under: Roseimaritima multifibrata
Lineage: Bacteria; Pseudomonadati; Planctomycetota; Planctomycetia; Pirellulales; Pirellulaceae
Description: Acido-Lenti-1 RNA
Rfam family: Acido-Lenti-1 RNA
Source: Rfam by way of RNAcentral